This is a long non-coding RNA of Canis lupus familiaris (dog), 2567 nucleotides long. RefSeq lists it as uncharacterized. The transcript is spliced from 6 exons. NCBI's taxonomy places the organism in Eukaryota, Metazoa, Chordata, Mammalia, Carnivora, Canidae. The record is from RefSeq and is a predicted model, not a curated record.
GUUAUCUACCCAAGAUACACAAUGGAAUAUUAUGCUGCCAUAAAAGGAGAAAUGCAUGAGGGACUGAAGAGGAAAAUCAAGACUAUAAGAAUAUUUUAAAUUGUGUGUUUGAGUUACAGAAAGUUGUUUUGCUUGAAUCAGGAUCCAAGCAAGGGCCACAGAUUGCAUUUGGUUGUUUUCAGAAUAAUGAAUUGGUGUCCUAGCAAUCUUCAAAGGUGAGCAAUUAGUUUGUCUUUUCUUAGUAUCAUUACGAAUGAGUGGAUUUUAGCAUAUUUGUAGUCUUUAUCCUGAAUAAUUUUGCUUUGAACUCUACUUAUGAUAUUAAUAUAGAUACUUUAGCGGGUUUUUUUUACCAUUGCAUUUAUUUUUUAAAAUUGUCACAAAAUAUAUAUAACAUAAAAUUUACUCACUCAUAUAUCCUGGAAAUCCACGUUUCCUAGCCCCAACCCAAACAUCCUCAGCCACUCCAUUAACCAGCUAUUCUUAUUCUCAGACUCAGGGGAUAUAGCAUCUCAGUAUAUAAAGUCAUGAAUCCCUUUCCUUUUAGCAAGGGUACCUUGACAUAUUUAGGUCCGUGGUCCUCUGGCCAGUCUGCAUAUCCUUGUGAAAGAUUUGGACCUAAAGCGAAGGGACAUAGAGCAUUUCUCAACCGUGGGAUAUCUGGGGAGAAUUGUCAAGUGAGAAAUGGAUGGCAUCACUUAGGUAUGCCUCUCCUCUUCCUUUCCUGGUUUCCACAUCUCUAAUAAGACUGGAGUGGGAGGAGCUAUAAAAUUCUGUAACCAUAUAAAGCUACCCAAAGGAAAAGAAGGUGGACUUUCCUGAGAUAUCUCAUUCUUCUGUUGUGGUUCAGUCAUGUAGAUGAGUCUACAUGGCCAGUCUUGCUGCGUGGAAGUCCAUGGUUGUCCAGGAACCCAAAAAGUUUCUUUUCUGCCUUUUUUUUUAAAAGAAGACAAUUUAUGAUGAGUUUCUUGGAUUAGGCAUAGUAAAAUAAAGAGUUUCCUUUGGCAGACUGUAUUUUCUAAAGAAGGCCUCAAUGAUAUCACUCAUCUUGCAUGCUUUUAUUCAGUGUGGCCAUUUAUAUAACCUAUUCCUCUCGUCCAUUUCUCUUGAAAUUCGGUGAGCUCAUAACCACAGAAGUCAGCUGAGUAUGGCAGAAAGAUGCUGCAACUAAGUCCUAAGUGGUGGUGCAGCUUCUGCCUUCUUGGCUGGGAUGUUCACUGUUGGAGCCCUGCGUCGCGGUGUAGGAAGUCCAGCCACCUGUCACAGGCAUCUGGGCUUCUGAAGAUCCUCAGACAAAGUGGAGAGACCACACAGAGACAAGAAAAUCAAGCACCAGAGAAAUUGAGGAAUCUGUCUGUGGCCACGCAGGGGACUUCUGAAAUGAGAAGUUCCCAGAGUAGAAAUCUCCUGGGUACCUCAAUCCAGCAAAAGCUCCAUUCUUCAUCAUUCAUAGGCCCACUUUGGUCCUGGCUUGCAAAUCUGAGCCUGGAUUACAUCCUUCUGCAAUCACGGUGAUUGGACCAAAAAUGCAUGGCCAUGCUCCGAGAGAAAUCCCACUCUUUCUUUAGAAAUCACAGGCUCCUGUAGCAGGUUUGUCCAACAUUUCAAGUUUUGCAGGAAUUGAAUUUUGCCUGAUUCCUCAGGAGAUCUUUGAAGCAGCAACUUUCAUAUCUCUUGGGAGAACCUACAGACUUUAAUGAUUUAUAGGGUGUGAAACGGUAAAAUCAUAUUUAAGGCUGCCAACAGUAAAUGGGACAAGGGUAUGGAGUCAGGGCAGGAAUUCAUUUAAACACGGCAUAUACUGAAAACAAGCUGAAUUCUGGGGGGAAUGAACCAAAGGAGUACUGUGACAUUGUUUAUCUUUGUAGCCACUAAAAAUGUCAAAAUAUGUGUCUAUCCUGAGAGAAGUCAGUGUUGUUUGCAAACUGUACACCGACAGGGUAUCAAAUGAUUUAUGGAAUCUACACUGCAAAGUUCCUCUGCCAAUAGCAAAAUACUGCCCCAGUUGCUAGAAAGCAAACAUUUGGUGGGCUACGUAGGGCAACAUAUUCCCGUCCAUGUCUUCACCUCUGAUCAGUCUCAUAUGUUCAAUGUUCAUUGCUAGGACAAAUAUAUCUGUUGAUAAUUUCACUCUCAUGUAUAUAUGAGAUUUUUUUUUAGAAAAUAAAUCAUUUUACUGAAAUUGUUUUUCUUAUAAGAAAGAUGGUAACAAAUAUGUCAAUGAGCCUACCUAUAACAUCUGUGCAUAGUAUAUAAAUAGGGAUUUACUACUGUACCCCUUUGUACUACUCUGCAUAUUUUCCUAUUUUUCAAAAUCAAAAUAACUUUUAAAAAAAUGCCACAAAAGCAACUAAGAACUGAAAGCAGUUAAAACCUGUUCCUUAGUCUUAGGGUGAAAAGGUGCUAACUAGGAUGAGGCAGGUCAGUGUCAGAAAUUGCCCCUGGACAAAGCAAAUCCUGGGUUUGCAGAAAGCCAACAUCCAGAUGUGGGUGAACAGGAUAUGCAACAAAAUCAUCCUCCCUCCUGGAGGCCAGACCAGUCUUCUGAGAACAGCUUUUCAUCAUUU